Molecule: ribosomal RNA, 253 nt
Filed under: uncultured bacterium
Lineage: Bacteria
Description: partial 16S ribosomal RNA
Rfam family: Bacterial small subunit ribosomal RNA
Source: RNAcentral
UACGAAGGGAGCUAGCGUUGUUCGGAAUCACUGGGCGUAAAGCGCACGUAGGCGGAUGUGUCAGUCAGUGGUGAAAUCCCGGAGCUCAACUUCGGAACUGCCCUUGAUACAGCACGUCUUGAGUCCGGAAGAGGUGGGUGGAAUUCCUAGUGUAGAGGUGAAAUUCGUAGAUAUUAGGAAGAACACCGGUGGCGAAGGCGGCCCACUGGUCCGGUACUGACGCUGAGGUGCGAAAGCGUGGGGAGCAAACAGG